Long non-coding RNA from Peromyscus californicus insignis, 1617 nucleotides. RefSeq lists it as uncharacterized. Lineage: Eukaryota; Metazoa; Chordata; Mammalia; Rodentia; Cricetidae. The record is from RefSeq and is a predicted model, not a curated record. The transcript is spliced from 3 exons.
GGGCUGGGUGCAGAUCCAGGGCUCCAUGAAGGAUAGCAAUGCCCAACAACUUGUUUUCUGCAGGAUUCCAGGAGGCUGAGGGAAUGGUUGUGGCCUGUUAAAGUUGCCCUGAAGCAGUUCAUCCCUAGUGUCAGCAGAAGCAAAGCCUGCAGAAGCCCUGGCCAUGUGGCCUUUUAAGAAACCAAUGGGUUCAUUGAGGUCCUGACACCUUCAAAUGCAGAUGAAUAAGCAGGGUUACAACUGGGGCUUGCUAAAAGUGUUUAAACGAAACAAAACAAAUGUCUUUUGUUUCAUUUUGUUUUGAUACAGUGUCUGAUGUAGCCUGGGCUGGUCUUGUACUCAAUAUGUAGCUAAGGCUGACCUUGGACCCCUGACCUUCCUGGAUCCUGCAUCCUGCAGGUGCCCUAGGCAGCUACAAGAUGAAGGGAAUGAGCAUCACGAUGAGGAAACUCAUGGAGUCACCAUGUGGAGGAGAGGUACCCGGGCAGGAGCGUCUGCAGAGAUUCUGGGAAUGAUGUCACACAACAUCAGAGGAAGCUGGCUAGCCCGAGAGACCCUAACUAAUGUGGGUAAGGCGAAAGAGCAGUGGAAGAUGAUUCCUGACAGCAACCUGGGGCUUAUACGAAUGAAAAGUGGAAAAAGGAGAAGCCUGCACUGUUUGCAAAGCAGGAGAAGAAAUCAAUCUGCUUUGAAGCAACAGUGGCCACGAAGUGAAGACACUCAAGGACCGCAAUUCUUUUUAGGGACUUCCUUUUAUGGGUUCAAGAGGGGGAAGGGCUUGGUUACUAGAGAUAUAUUUGGGUGGCUCUUCAUUUUGAUUGACAGACUUCUACCACGUAGCUGUAGCUCUUUGCUCACUGCAUGUGUCACUUCCCAUAAUGCAUCUGGUUUUAAGUGUAUGCACACCUAAUUAUGCAUAGGCACAACUUGAUAAGUAAGAGGUUCUCCUUAAAAGGCCACUUAGACACAGCUUGCCUUAUUUGCACACACAUCCCAAACCAGUUUAGGCUAGCUUGGCCUUUCUAUUACACCUGGAUAUAUAUAGAGUAGGUCUGAAUAAAAACUAGCCUGGUGGGUGGUGGUCUUUAAUCCCAGCACUCAGGAGGCAGAGGCAAGGGAUCUCUGAGUUUGAGGCCAGUCUGGGCUACAGAGUGAGUUCCAGGACAACCAGGGCUACAUAGAGUAAACCUUGUCUCAAAAACAAAACAAAAACAAAAAAGAGUCAAGCUGCCAAGUGCAAGCGCAUUGCUAAGAAGAGGGGAGGGUAUCUGCACAACCCACACCAAGUGGAGGCCCAAGCUGCUAAACUGUUUCUUACGUUUGUCUGCCUCAUUUCUACUUUGUUCCAUUGUCUUCCCCAACUACCUCUCUUAAAGACUACUACUUCCAGUCUAUGGGCCCCUUCCUAGUUUCCUGGUCUUUUCCCACGUUUAUUCCCACCUAUACACACAUAUUUAACAGUUUGACGUUAGAAUCUGCAUGUGACGGAGAAUUUAUGGUAUCUGUCUUUCUGAAUCUGGAUUAUUACCUGGCUUAGUCUAAUAUUUUCUAGUUAUCUAUCUUCCUGAAAAUGUCAUCUGUGUUUAUGGAUGAAUAAAGUUGCAUAUGUCUAUGGCC